Chlorocebus sabaeus (green monkey) is the source of this 230-nucleotide non-coding RNA. It matches the Rfam family "Metazoan signal recognition particle RNA". From Rfam's summary of the family: The signal recognition particle (SRP) is a universally conserved ribonucleoprotein. The record is from Rfam. Lineage: Eukaryota; Metazoa; Chordata; Mammalia; Primates; Cercopithecidae.
GCCGGGCGCGGUGGCUCAAGCCUGUAAUCCCAGCACUGUGGGAGGCCGAGACGGGCGGAUCACGAGGUCAGGAGAUCGAGACCAUCCUGGCUAACACGGUGAAACCCCGUCUCUACUAAAAAUACAAAAAACUAGCCCGGCUAGUUUUUUGUAUUUUUAGUAGAGACGGGGUUUCACCGUGUUAGCCAGGAUGGUCUCGAUCUCCUGACCUCGUGAUCCGCCCGUCUCGG